RNAcentral lists this ribosomal RNA (508 nucleotides) under uncultured bacterium. Its description in RNAcentral is "partial 16S ribosomal RNA". It matches the Rfam family "Bacterial small subunit ribosomal RNA", at positions 28 to 523 of the family's 1533-position model. The record is from RNAcentral.
GAUGAACGCUAGCUACAGGCUUAACACAUGCAAGUCGAGGGGAAACGAUAGAGAAAGCUUGCUUUUUCUAGGCGUCGACCGGCGCACGGGUGAGCAACGCGUAUCCAACCUGCCCAUCACUUGGGGAUAACCUUGCGAAAGUAAGAUUAAUACCCAAUGACGUCUCUAGAAGACAUCUGAAAGGGAUUAAAGAUUUAUCGGUGAUGGAUGGGGAUGCGUCUGAUUAGCUUGUUGGCGGUGUAACGGCCCACCAAGGCGACGAUCAGUAGGGGUGCUGAGAGGAAGGUCCACCACAUUGGAACUGAGACACGGUACAAACUCCUACGGGAGGCAGCAGUGAGUAAUAUUGGUCAAUGGACGAGAGUCUGAACCAGCCAAGUAGCGUGCAGGAUGACGGCCCGAUGGGUUGUAAACUGCUUUUAUAAGGGAAUAAAGUGAGAGUCGUGACUCUUUUUGCAUGUACCUUAUGAAUAAGGACCGGCUAAUUCCGUGCCAGCCGCCGCCGUAA